GGUAGACAGUUCAUUCAGUCAGUAAAAUGGUAGACAGUUCAUUCAGUCAGCAAGAUGGUAGACAGUUCAUUCAAGAUGGUAGACAGUUCAUUCAGUCAGUAAGAUGGUAGUCAGUUCAUUCUGUCAGUAAGAUGGUAGGUAGUUCAUUCAGUCAGUAAGAUGGUAGGUAGUUCAUUCAGUCAGUAAGAUGGUAGACAGUUCAUUCAGUCAGUAAGAUGGUAGACAGUUCAUUCAGUCAGUAAGAUGGUAGUCAGUUCAUUCAGUCAGUAAGAUGGUAGUCAGUUCAUUCAGUCAGUAAGAUGGUAGACAGUUCAUUCAUUCAGUAAGAUGGUAGACAGUUCAUUCAGUCAGUAAGAUGGUAGACAGUUCAUUCAGUCAGUAAGAUGGUAGACAGUUCAUUCAGUCAGUAAGAUGGUAGACAGUCAGUAAGAUGGUAGGUAGUUCAUUCAGUCAGUAAGAUGGUAGUCAGUUACUUCAGUCAGUAAGAUGGUAGGUAGUUCAUUCAGUCAGUA
Oncorhynchus tshawytscha (Chinook salmon) is the source of this 512-nucleotide long non-coding RNA. The record is from Ensembl. NCBI's taxonomy places the organism in Eukaryota, Metazoa, Chordata, Actinopteri, Salmoniformes, Salmonidae.